RNAcentral lists this non-coding RNA (22 nucleotides) under Arabidopsis thaliana (thale cress). The record is from RNAcentral. Lineage: Eukaryota; Viridiplantae; Streptophyta; Magnoliopsida; Brassicales; Brassicaceae.
UCUCAAGAAGGUGCAUGAACAA